CAUUGAAACACUGGUUCCUGUAUGAUCACAGAAGUUAUGCAACAUUGAGCAUGGUCAGUGCCUAGAUGGGUAACCGCUUGGGAAUACCUGGUGCUAU
Non-coding RNA from Acanthosepion pharaonis, 97 nucleotides. NCBI's taxonomy places the organism in Eukaryota, Metazoa, Mollusca, Cephalopoda, Sepiida, Sepiidae. The record is from the annotation of a GenBank genome assembly.